UACGAAGGGGGCUAGCGUUGUUCGGAAUUACUGGGCGUAAAGGGCGCGUAGGCGGUGUGUCAAGUCAGGCGUGAAAGCCCCGGGCUCAACCUGGGAACAGCGCUUGAGACUGGCACGCUCGAGUUCGGGAGAGGAUGGUGGAAUUCCCAGUGUAGAGGUGAAAUUCGUAGAUAUUGGGAAGAACACCGAUGGCGAAGGCAGCCAUCUGGACCGACACUGACACUGAGGAGCGAAAGCGUGGGGAGCGAACAGG
This 253-nucleotide ribosomal RNA is filed under the name uncultured bacterium. RNAcentral's name for it is "partial 16S ribosomal RNA". It matches the Rfam family "Bacterial small subunit ribosomal RNA", at positions 524 to 776 of the family's 1533-position model. The record is from RNAcentral.